This is a non-coding RNA of Malus domestica (apple), 1022 nucleotides long. Lineage: Eukaryota; Viridiplantae; Streptophyta; Magnoliopsida; Rosales; Rosaceae. The record is from RefSeq and is a predicted model, not a curated record.
CCCUACACCAUAAGCUAAGUUGACUCCCUCUACCAUCGCAGCCGCAACAAAAGCAAAGCUAACUCCCCCUAACCCUGCGGUUUCACUAGAAGCAAAGUCAACUCCCCUACCUCGCGGCCGCACCAGAAGCAAAGCCAACUCCCUCUAACCUCGCGGCCGCAGGAGCACAGCAAGUGAAAUAGCUCCCACAUAAUUAUAAAGCCAUUGUAAAAGAUUCUGACUCACCUAUCAACGAGCCCUCCCCUAGAGAACUCCUUGAGGAGCUCCAAAAAGGAAUUUUCUUAGACGAAAUGAAAAAGAAGUAUUGGGUUGAUAAGAAUUCCGAACAACUGUUUUACGGUGUAUGCAAGAGAUCUCUCGAUCACUUGGGGCAGAGACAGUCGUUACUGGCGCUGGAACGUAGAAGACGGGUAUCGAAAACUUCAAUCCGUACAUCACAAUUAGUUAUUGAUUACUGCUAUAGUAAUCGGUCCUAACUUAUGGUUUAAAUGCAGUGGUGACCCCAUUGAUGUUGCUGAACUGUUAGAUGUAUGUAGGCUAGAAGUGUACGGGAAGCUUGAUACCGCAUACCUGUCACCCGGAACUCUUUAUGAAGUUGUAUUUGUGGUCAAGCUGAAUGCUAAAGAAUAUGGAUGGGAAGAACCAGUCGAAUUCACUCUCGAAACCCCUGCUGGUGACAAGCACACACGUAAUGUUGAUCUGAUGCAAAAGCAGAGAGGAACAUGGGUUGAGAUCCCAGCCGGUGAAUUUAGAGCAUCGCCUGAGCAGUAUGGCAACAUGAUUUUUUCGCUCCAUCAACUUGGUGGGCAGUGGAAGAAAGGGCUUGUUAUCAAGGGUGCCGAAAUUCGUCCUAAAACUAAAAAGUAAGUUGCAGAGUACUUGGCAACUUUGCUUAUGAGCAGAGAAAUAACGUCCUAGUUAUUAUUAUUAUUAUUAUUAUUAUUUUAAAGAAGCAAAAUUAAAGGAAUGCAUAUAUAAGAAAUGAUGGGAACAGAAUAAUGAAAGGAAGAUACAGUUUUAAA